RNAcentral lists this ribosomal RNA (554 nucleotides) under Vibrio alginolyticus. Its description in RNAcentral is "bacterial SSU rRNA". It matches the Rfam family "Bacterial small subunit ribosomal RNA", at positions 373 to 918 of the family's 1533-position model. The record is from RNAcentral. Lineage: Bacteria; Pseudomonadati; Pseudomonadota; Gammaproteobacteria; Vibrionales; Vibrionaceae.
GGGCGCAGCCUGAUGCAGCCAUGCCGCGUGUGUGAAGAAGGCCUUCGGGUUGUAAAGCACUUUCAGUCGUGAGGAAGGCGGCGUCGUUAAUAGCGGCGUUGUUUGACGUUAGCGACAGAAGAAGCACCGGCUAACUCCGUGCCAGCAGCCGCGGUAAUACGGAGGGUGCGAGCGUUAAUCGGAAUUACUGGGCGUAAAGCGCAUGCAGGUGGUUUGUUAAGUCAGAUGUGAAAGCCCGGGGCUCAACCUCGGAAUAGCAUUUGAAACUGGCAGACUAGAGUACUGUAGAGGGGGGUAGAAUUUCAGGUGUAGCGGUGAAAUGCGUAGAGAUCUGAAGGAAUAAAGAUUGUUUAUGCGGCCCCCUGGACAGAUACUGACACUCAGAUGCGAAAGCGUGGGGAGCAAACAGGAUUAGAUACAAAAGUUUAGUCCACGCCGUAAACGAUGUCUACUUGGAGGUUGUGGCCUUGAGCCGUGGCUUUCGGAGCUAACGCGUUAAGUAGACCGCCUGGGGAGUACGGUCGCAAGAUUAAAACUCAAAUGAAUUGACGGGG